Molecule: ribosomal RNA, 410 nt
Filed under: Theileria sp.
Lineage: Eukaryota; Apicomplexa; Aconoidasida; Piroplasmida; Theileriidae
Description: SSU rRNA
Rfam family: Eukaryotic small subunit ribosomal RNA
Source: RNAcentral
GGUAGUGACAGAAAUAACAAUACGGGGCUUAAUGUCUUGUAAUUGGAAUGAUGGGAAUUUAAACCUCUUCCAGAGUAUCAAUUGGAGGGCAAGUCUGGUGCCAGCAGCCGCGGUAAUUCCAGCUCCAAUAGCGUAUAUUAAAAUUGUUGCAGUUAAAAAGCUCGUAGUUGAAUUUCUGCUGCAUUUCAUUUCUCUUUCUGAGUUUGUUUUUGCGGCUUAUUUCGGUUUGAUUUUUUCUUUCCGGAUGAUUACUUUGAGAAAAUUAGAGUGCUCAAAGCAGGCUUUUGCCUUGAAUAGUUUAGCAUGGAAUAAUAAAGUAGGACUUUGGUUCUAUUUUGUUGGUUUUAGGUACCAAAGUAAUGGUUAAUAGGAACAGUUGGGGGCAUUCGUAUUUAACUGUCAGAGGUGAA